UGACACUUGACUUGAGAGGUCUGUGAGGG
This 29-nucleotide non-coding RNA is filed under the name Homo sapiens (human). The record is from RNAcentral. Lineage: Eukaryota; Metazoa; Chordata; Mammalia; Primates; Hominidae.